AGUGGGAAAGGAUGUGGAGUUGCAUAGACAACCAGGAGGUUGGCUUAGAAGCAGCCACCCUUGAAAGAGUGCGUAAUAGCUCACUGGUCAAGUGAUUCCGCGCCGACAAUGUAACGGGGCUCAAGCACACCACCGAAGUUGUAGAUUUCGUAUUUUAGGUAAGCCUUCGUGGUUCAGCCGUACGGAGUGGUAGGAGAGCGUCGUGUGGCGAGUGAAGCGGCGGUGUAAACCAGCCGUGGACGCUACACGAGUGAGAAUGCAGGCAUGAGUAGCGAAAGACGGGCGAGAAACCCGUCCUCCGAAUGAUCAAGGGUUCCAGGGCCAGGCUAAUCCGCCCUGGGUAAGUCGGGACCUAAGGCGAGGCCGACAGGCGUAGUCGAUGGACAACGGGUUGAUAUUCCCGUACUGACGAAGAACCGCCCAAACUAAUCCAGUGAUGCUAAGAGUCUGAAUCCUCUAGAUGGAUCCCUUCGGGGUGAAGCGUGAGGCCUAGCACUCGACCCUAUGCUGGUGCGGUUAGCGUAUUAACAGGUGUGACGCAGGAAGGUAGCUGAGCCGGGCGAUGGUUGUCCCGGUCUAAGAAUGUAGGCCGAGAGAUAGGCAAAUCCGUCUCUCAUUACGGCUGAGACUCGAUGGGUAGUCCUCACGGACGAAAUCAGUGAUCCUAUGCUGCCAAGAAAAGCAUCGACGCGAGGUUCAAGUUACCCGUACCCCAAACCGACUCAGGUGAUCAGGUAGAGAAUACCAAGGCGCUUGAGAGAACUCUGCUGAAGGAACUAGGCAAAAUGGUACCGUAACUUC
This 801-nucleotide ribosomal RNA is filed under the name Pseudoalteromonas sp. SWN29. RNAcentral describes it as "partial 23S ribosomal RNA". It matches the Rfam family "Bacterial large subunit ribosomal RNA", at positions 1062 to 1737 of the family's 2925-position model. Lineage: Bacteria; Pseudomonadati; Pseudomonadota; Gammaproteobacteria; Alteromonadales; Pseudoalteromonadaceae. The record is from RNAcentral.